AGAACGAACGCUGGCGGCAGGCUUAACACAUGCAGGUCGAGCGCCCCGCAAGGGGAGCGGCAGACGGGUGAGUAACGCGUGGGAACAUACCCUCCGGUUCGGAAUAGCUCAGGGAAACUUGGAUUAAUACCGGAUACGGCCUAGCGGCGAAAGAUUCAUCGCCGGAGGAUUGGCCCGCGUCUGAUUAGCUAGUUGGUGGGGUAAUGGCCCACCAAGGCGACGAUCAGUAGCUGGUCUGAGAGGAUGAUCAGCCACAUUGGGACUGAGACACGGCCCAAACUCCUACGGGAGGCAGCAGUGGGGAAUAUGGACAAUGGCGCAAGCCUGAUCCAGCCAUGCCGCGUGAGUGAUGACGGCCUUAGGGUUGUAAAGCUCUUUCGCUAGGGACGAUAAUGACGGUACCUAGACAAGAAGCCCGGCUAACUUCGUGCCAGCAGCCGC
RNAcentral lists this ribosomal RNA (441 nucleotides) under uncultured bacterium. RNAcentral describes it as "SSU rRNA". It matches the Rfam family "Bacterial small subunit ribosomal RNA", at positions 26 to 518 of the family's 1533-position model. The record is from RNAcentral.